AGCUAAAUUACAAAACCGGUUGAGUUUUCUAGAGCAACAAAGAGCGGCGGCAGCAAGCAGCACACCGUUGGCAUUUAGCGUUGGUGAGAAAAUUUUUGUUAUAGAGCACAAUGCCCAGAUAGUGGAGAGUCAAAGUUAAAGUAAAGAGUGGCGGCGCACUUGUUGAAAGCGACAACAAAAAUACAACAAGCGACAAUAAGAAAUAUAUGAGUGCAGUUGGCGGCAUAAACUGGUCAAAGGCAAAUGGCAACACUAAUUUAGUAGCAGAUGUUUUUGCCGUCCUCGUUGUCAUCGUCAUCGUCGUUGGUGUCGUUGGUGUGCGGCAUGCGACGAUGAUAUUAUGGGAGAAUCCAACGUUGCCGUCGCUGUCGCCACCAUAAAACUAUGACUUGUGUGUAGCAUCGUAUACAAUGCCGCUGCCACCACUACCACUACUACUACCACCAACACAGCAUUGUGGCGAAUGUUUAUAGAUUUUCAGUCGAAUUUUGUUAUUUCACGUACAAAGUGGCGCGCGCGGGCCGCCGCUAUAACAAAUCAAAUCGUGACGAUUAUUAGUGGAUUAAAGAAAGAAAGAAUGAAAAAAAAAAUAUAUGUCGAAAAUUUGUAAUAACAAUAAAAACAACAACACAAAAAUAUUACAUGGUGAAAAGUGUAUGAGGUGUAUGAUGAAAGCGUGUGCGCGGUGAAAAGCAAUAAGUGAUGUUCUCUGAAAACAGCACUAAAUUCGUUAAUUGUAGGCCAUAUUUAUUCCAAAAAAAAAAAAAAACAAAAGAAAUAGUAAAAUAAAUAAUAUCAAAUAAACACGAAAUAAACUACAACGAAAAUAACGCGAAAAAACUGCUCCAGCGCAGUCUUGCAUAAAAACAAAAAACAAAAAAAAAACUACAAACAUACAUAUUCAUCAUCAAACAACAGCAAAAAGGUGAAAUAAUCGCAUUGCAAUUGGUAAUUAAAACACAUUAAUCAACUUGCAACAAAAUAACCGUUAAACUACAACUACUAAAUUCACUGCACACAACAACGCGAAACGUGCAACAAAAAACAAGCGUGUUGCUUUUAUACAACGCAUGCGCAUGCGCUAACAACACACGAUUAGCACACAAGUGCAGGAGCAGCAAUUGUUGUCGUUUAACAUAUACACAUGUACAUACAAACGUUUGUGUGGCAAAGUAAGAGCAACAUCCUAAUAAGCAACAGCAGUCAACAGCAAUUUGUAGCAGCAACAAUAACAAAAUAUAAAAGUUAAUAAUCGCGCAAACAUUUCACGCAUACAUUUGCAUACUCCAUUGUACGCGUGCGCAAGUUCUCACUCUCGCGCUCAUACAAUUUACAGAGAGCGUGGUGUGCGCUCUCUCUCGCUGAAAUUGGUGUGUCCGUUUCGUUGCUGCGCUCUUUGUAUGAACAGUGUUGCCAGCAAAUCAGCAUCGGCACAAAUUUAACUAGCUCUAUCGUUUCGUGCUGUAUUUGUAUAACCAAAGCCUCAAAGUGGAUUUAACAAAUUAUAACAAAUUGCUGCAGUCCAGCAAUCAAUAUUUGCGGCCAGAUUAUCUGGCCGCACCGAAUGCGGUGAGUUUCCUAAAUAAAUGAUAAAAUGGUCAGAUAUAACACAUAUGCACACUUAUAAGAAAAUUGUUGGGUAAGAUAUUUAAGUAUAUAGCAGUUAUAUCAUGGAUUAAAAUGUAUUUUCUUAAGAAAAUUUAAGUUAAAUUUAAUAAAAGAAACAUUUGCGGUAAAAAAUUAAAUUUUUAAUGAAACUUGGACUAAAUUAAUUAGGAAAUAUUAUGAUUUAUAAAGAAAUAUACCACAAAAAGUCAGG
Molecule: long non-coding RNA, 1819 nt
Organism: Ceratitis capitata (Mediterranean fruit fly)
Lineage: Eukaryota; Metazoa; Arthropoda; Insecta; Diptera; Tephritidae
Exons: 4
Source: RefSeq, a predicted model, not a curated record